AUAACCUUAAUCUCCUUAACCUUACCAAUUAUUAUUACCUUCAUCAACCCUUACAAGAAGAACUUGUACCCAUAUUAUGUAAAAAUAGCUAUCGCAUGCACCUUCACCAUUAGCCGCAUUCCCACAAGAAUGUUUAUAUCUACAGACCAAUAACCCAUCAUCUCAAACUGAUAUUGAAUAACAAUCCAAACCCUUAAACUCUCAUUAAGCUUCAGACUACUUCUCCAUAAUGUUUAUUCCAGUAGCACUAUUUGUCACCUGAUUAUAGAAUUCUCUAUAUGAUAUAUAAAGUUAGAUCCUAAUAUUGAUCAGUUUUGCAAAUAUUUACUUAUUUUCCACACCACAAUAUUAAUUCUAGUUACCGCCAACAACCUUUUUCAACUUUUUAUUGGAUGAGAAGGCGUAGGAAUUGUGUCUUUUCUACUAACUGGCUGAUGACAUGGCUGAGCAGAUGCUAAUACAACAGCCCUGCAAGCGAUCCUACAUAAUCGCUUUGGCGAUAUUGGCUUCAUUUUAGCUAUAGCCUGAUUCCUCACAUCCUCCAAUACAUGAGAGCCUCAACAAAUAUUUAUCCUAAAUCCUACCCCCGAUCUUCUUCCAUUAAUUGGCCUUCUCUUAGCAGCAGCAGCAGGAAAAACAGCCCAACUUGGCCUCCACUCCUGACUUCCUUCUGCCAUGGAAGGCCCAGCCCCUGUCUCAGCCCUACUCCACUCUAGCACUAUAGUUGUGGCAGGAGUGUUCCUACUUAUUCAUUUCCACCCCUUAAUAGAAAAUAAUGUGUUAAUCCAAACCCUUACACUAUGUCUAGGGGCUAUUACCACUUUUUUACAGCAAUCUGUGCUUUAACACAAAAUAAUAUUGAAAAAACCGUAGCAUUCUCCACCUCAAGUCAACUGGGCCUUAGAAUAACCACAAUUGGCAUUAAUCAACCACACCUAGCAUUCCUACACAUCUGCACCCAUGUCUUUUUCAAAGUUAUAUUAUUUGUGUGUUCAGGAUCUAUCAUCCACAGCCUCAACGAUGAACAAGACAUCUGAAAAACAGGACUAUUUAAGACUUUACCCCUUACUUUCUCCUCCCUUAUUAUUGGCAGCCUAGCACUUACGGGUAUGCCCUUCCUCACAGGCUUUUACUCUAAAGAUCUCAUCAUCGAAACCACAAACACGUCAUAUACCAAUGUCUGAGCCCUCUCUAUUACUUUCAUUGCCACUUCCCUAACAAGUGUCUACAGUAUGCAAAUUAUUUCCUUUGCCCUAAUAGGACAACCCCACUUCCCAACCCUAAUCAACAUUAAUGAAAAUAUUCCUUCCCUAAUAAAUCCAAUUAAACACCUUAUAGUUGACAGCAUCUUCGCUGGGUUUCUCCUUACCAAUAGCAUUGCCCCUGCUUCAUCCCCACAAACAACAAUAGCACCUCAUCUAAAACUUGCAGCCCUAGGUGUAAACAUCCUAGGGCUUUUACUGGCUAUAGAACUGAGUUCUAGAAUUAAUAAUCUUAAAAUAAAACACCCAUUACAAAUAUUCAACUUUUCUAACAUAUUAGGAUUUUACUCAAUCACAAUUCACUGUAUAACCCCUCACUCAAGCCUAUCUAUAAGCCAAAACCUGGCAUCACUUCUAUUAUCUAAUUUGACUAGAAAAGUCCAUACCAAAAAC
This 1655-nucleotide long non-coding RNA is filed under the name Homo sapiens (human). RNAcentral's name for it is "non-protein coding lnc-RAB6D-14:1". The record is from RNAcentral. Lineage: Eukaryota; Metazoa; Chordata; Mammalia; Primates; Hominidae.